Molecule: long non-coding RNA, 2704 nt
Organism: Catharus ustulatus (Swainson's thrush)
Lineage: Eukaryota; Metazoa; Chordata; Aves; Passeriformes; Turdidae
Source: Ensembl
AAAAAUAUUUGUUUGAGGACAGACCUGCUGGAAAUAUCUGUAUUUUUGAUUAUGAACCUCAGAGAAUUUCCCUUACAUAAAGAAUUCUGUGAGGAAAAAAGAGUGUCACCAUAUUAUACAGACACUGCCCCAUUUGGAACACACUUAAGUGUGGAAAACAUCCAUAUCCUGAGGCACCCCACCUCACCCUCAAUCCCAGCAUUCCUGUCCAGGCCAUCAACACAGGAUGAAAUUGUCUUGAAAUUGCAACUGUGCUUCAUUUCCCAACAAUGUUGCUCUAUGUAUACAAUGAUUCACCUAAUUUUCCACCCACUACUAAUAACAGAAAGUGGUGAAAAUAGAAGAUUUCUGCAUUUUAUUCUCACAAUUAUAAGGAGCAUUUUUGCAUACAGGCUAUAGUCAGUUUUGUUAUCAGGUUUUUUUAAAUGGCAGAGGUAGCAUCUGCCAGACAGGAGUUGGAAGUGAGAGAAGUGGGCGAGGAAAUCCACAGUCACUGACAUGUGUAGUAACUCCUGAGGAACUGAUAUGGAAUUGUGGCCAUCCAGAGGCACCAGUGUCAUUUUGACACUUGACACAUGAAUUUCUAGACAGAUCUGGGUUACUGGCUACCUAUACCUACACCUCGGCAUUCAAGCACCAGCGAGCAUCCAAGAUGGGCCAGAAGCAGGAAGACAGGCUGUCUGCAGAGCAGAAGGGAAGAGGGAAAUGGAAUGCAGCGGCUACACAGUUUGCAGCACACGCUUGUCCAUCUCCUCGUACUGCAGAGCACAGACAGGCCCUGCUGCUGUCCGUGCAGUGUCCCAAACCCUGCUGUGAGGAAUGUCACCAGCCAUUCCUGGGACAGGAGACGGGACAGCCCCCGGCAGUGUCCGGGGCAGUGCGGUCCCAGGGGGAAUCGCCUCUCGGAUGUUCCGGCUGCCAGGGGCACUCAGCGCACGGCGCCCUUCACCGCACAGGCUCUGGCAACUCGGAGAAACAGGCAGCUCGAAUUCAAGCUUGACGUAUUGUGUGUCCGUGAAGAUUAACCAGCUUUAAACGUAUGCUCAUAAGCCUAAUGCAGCCGCACCAACGCUGUUGCAUUUAUGUUUUAUUUCUCUCAAACAUAUACGGGAUAUUCCUGUUUUCUGUAGUCAAAGUCAGCAAUGAAACACUUGACUCCCUCUGGCAUCUUUUAUAUUAAAAAGGAUUUAUCAUUGUAAUACCUGGUCUUAUAGAGGAUCGGUUAAGGGCAUGCUUCACAUUAAAUGCUUGAUGAUUCUGAAGUCAACAAAACUGAUUUUUUUUUUUUUAAUUCCGCCGUUUAUGACCGAAAAGAGGAUGAAAACUUUCGUGGCCCGAGGAAGGCGUUUACCCUGGGAUUGUCCUGAGGUCACUGCGGGAGGUCGAGGCAGCCACAAGCCGCUCCCCCCCAGAGAAAGGGGGAGCUGACGAUGGGAUGAGGACAUCCCGACUGAGGCAGCAACGCCCGCCACGGUGUCCCCCGGUGAUCCCAUAGCCGUCCCGCCCUCUGGGAGGGACUCCGCCCUCACUCAAGAUGGCGCCCGCAGUGUCUCCGACGGGCUCUGACGUCAGCGCGCCCAUGGUGAAGAUGGCGGCUGUUUACCUGCGGCCUCCGCGGAACUUGCCCUUGUCCAACAUGGCUGUCGCUGCCCGAUUACUUCCGCUGGCAGCGGCGCGAGUUUGCCCUCAGUAGAGAUGGUGUAGCGCAGCGCGGAGAGGGCGGGGUGUGCCGGUGCCUGCGGUGAGGGUCAGUGUGCAGGGCGGGCUGGCGGCAGCGGCUGCGUGAGCAGCGCGGAAAGGCGAGGGGAGGGGAGGCGGCGUCGGUGGCCGGGCGGGGGAGAAGGGAGCUCCGGCAGCGCGGCCGCUUCUGGGGAGCUGUGCACGUGUGCGGCCGUGAAAUGGCGGCCGGGGCCUGGGCGCUGCCUGCGGCCCGGGCCCGCUGUGGGGCUGGGUGAUGCCCCGCUUGCCCAGCGCAGCCUGCAGGGCCCCCGCCCGUUGUGUCCCGGCGCCCUGGGUUCUCCGAGAUCCGCCGAUGUUCAGCAAGGGACCGCGUCUGUGCGCUCUAACAAUUUACAGCGGUGCAAAUGAAUUAGUUGUGAGACGCUUCUCAGAAGUUUUCGUCAUAGGAAAAGAUUAAAUAGUCUGAAAACUUCUCCUUUCCACUGCAGCACCACUUGCUAAUUCUUUAUUCAUAUUAGAAAGGACCGUUUCUGUUUUGUAAGAUAGUUUAAGUAUUUGGCAUAACCAGAAAGCUGUAAGUCAAAGGUGAAAAUACAGUUGUUAACUUCUGCAGGUGUUAACCUGUGUGUACUAAAUUGUGUACGCAAUACAAAUAUACAAAAUUGUGUGUAUACCUGCAACCUGUGUGUAUAACUUAGGGCACUACGUGGAGGCUGUAUGGGACUAAUAGUCAGCUAGUGUUGGAAUCAAGUAAUAAAGUUGUUUCUGCCAGCUGUCCUUGUACUGGUAGUAUUCAGAAAUGCUGCAUUGCUACUAUCAUAAGUUGUGCUAAUACAUCUCAGAAGUUACUUUAUGAUAGUGAUCUGAACUGCCUUUUCUUGACAGAUGCACACCAAUGGCACACAGCACUGAGUUCCCAUGUGAAUAAUCAGCUCCAUACCUGGCUUCUUUUGGAACUCAUGGGUUUUGCCAGUACUUCUAAUCUAGCACUUCACCAGAGGCACUUCUGACAGUUUCUCAGUGU